UUAAUCUCUCAAAGGAUUGGGCAAUCCGUCCUUUGGAUUUGGGUCUUGCUGUGAACUGCUUCUCAGCUUGCCUUGAAUGCAUUAGCAAGCCUUCAAUUUGGGACAUUUUUCAAUGAGGUGUUCUAAAAAUUGUUUGGGGUCAUCCUCAAUCAGAAAAAGGCCCUUGUUUGGAUGACUUGCUUCUAAAAAUCAAUAACUCUCCCAAGGGUUAUCAAUCUCUUA
Molecule: unclassified non-coding RNA, 222 nt
Filed under: uncultured Cantharellaceae
Lineage: Eukaryota; Fungi; Basidiomycota; Agaricomycetes; Cantharellales; Hydnaceae
Also listed under: 1 other name
Description: sequence contains ITS2
Source: RNAcentral